RNAcentral lists this small nuclear RNA (145 nucleotides) under Mus pahari (shrew mouse). RNAcentral's name for it is "predicted gene, 25489 (MGP_PahariEiJ_G0033560.1)". It matches the Rfam family "U1 spliceosomal RNA". From Rfam's summary of the family: U1 is a small nuclear RNA (snRNA) component of the spliceosome (involved in pre-mRNA splicing). Its 5' end forms complementary base pairs with the 5' splice junction, thus defining the 5' donor site of an intron. Lineage: Eukaryota; Metazoa; Chordata; Mammalia; Rodentia; Muridae. The record is from RNAcentral.
AAAGGUACCUGGCACAGGAGAUACCAUGAUCACUAAGAUGGGUCCUCAAGGCAGUGUGCUGGCCCUUGUGAUUUCCCCAAAUGUUGGAAAAGUGACUGCAUAAUUUGUGGUAGUGGAGGAGAGGCUGAGUUUGUUCUCUCUCUCU